Ribosomal RNA from Pteropus vampyrus (large flying fox), 119 nucleotides. The record is from Ensembl. Lineage: Eukaryota; Metazoa; Chordata; Mammalia; Chiroptera; Pteropodidae.
GUCUAUGGCCAUGCCACCCUGAACGUGCCAGAUCUCAUCUGAUCUCACAGGCUAAGCAGGGUCGAGCCUGGUUAGUACUUGGAUGGGAGACCACCUAGGAAGACCAGGCGAUAUAGGCA